ACGAUGAAGGCCUUUUUGGUUGUAAAGUUCUUUUACGAGGGAUAAUUAUGAUAGUACUUCGUGAAUAAGUGACAGCAAACUAUGUGCCAGCAGCUGCGGUAAUACAUAGGUCGCGAGCAUUAUUCGGAUUUAUUGGGCGUAAAGCAAGCGCAGGCGGAUGUGUAAGUUCUGUGUUAAAUGCAGCUACUCAAUAGUUGUAUGCACCGAAUACUACAUGUCUAGAUUGUGGUAGGGAGUUUCGGAAUUAAGCAUGGAGCGGUGGAAUGUGUAGAUAUGCUUAAGAACACCAGAGGCGAAGGCGGAAACUUAGGCCAUAAAUGACGCUUAGGCUUGAAAGUGUGGGGAGCAAAUGGGAUUAGAUACCCCAGUAGUCCACACCGUAAACGAUGGGUAUUAGAUAUUAGGGCUUUAGCUUUAGUGUUGUAGCUUACGCGUUAAAUACCCCGCCUGGGUAGUACAUAUGCAAAUAUGAAACUCAAAGGAAUUGACGGGGACCUGAACAAGUGGUGGAGCAUGUUGCUUAAUUCGAUAAUACACGAAAAACCUUACCAAGGUUUGACAUCCCUCGCAAAGCUAUAGAAAUAUAGUGGAGGUUAUCGAGGUGACAGGUGGUGCAUGGCUGUCGUCAGCUCGUGUCUUGAGAUGUUUGGUUAAGUCCCGCAACGAGCGCAACCCCACUCUUUAGUUACUUUUCUAAAGAGACUGCACAGUAAUGUAGAGGAAGGAUGGGAUCACGUCAAGUCAUCAUGCCCCUUAUGCCUUGGGCUGCAAACGUGCUACAAUGGCGAACACAAUGUGUUGCAAACCAGCGAUGGUAAGCUAAUCACCAAAUUUCGUCUCAGUUCGGAUAGGAGGCUGCAAUUCGCCUCCUUGAAGUUGGAAUCACUA
RNAcentral lists this ribosomal RNA (888 nucleotides) under uncultured Mycoplasma sp. RNAcentral describes it as "bacterial SSU rRNA". It matches the Rfam family "Bacterial small subunit ribosomal RNA", at positions 405 to 1337 of the family's 1533-position model. Lineage: Bacteria; Bacillati; Mycoplasmatota; Mollicutes; Mycoplasmatales; Mycoplasmataceae. The record is from RNAcentral.